Molecule: ribosomal RNA, 154 nt
Filed under: uncultured Desulfocapsa sp.
Lineage: Bacteria; Pseudomonadati; Thermodesulfobacteriota; Desulfobulbia; Desulfobulbales; Desulfocapsaceae
Description: partial 16S ribosomal RNA
Rfam family: Bacterial small subunit ribosomal RNA
Source: RNAcentral
UGGCCGGUACAAAGGGCAGCCACUUAGCGAUAAGGAGACCAAUCCCGUAAAAGCCGGUCUCAGUCCGGAUUGGAGUCUGCAACUCGACUCCAUGAAGUUGGAAUCGCUAGUAAUCGCAGAUCAGCACGCUGCGGUGAAUACGUUCCCGGGCCUU